RNAcentral lists this unclassified non-coding RNA (263 nucleotides) under Hevea brasiliensis (rubber tree). The record is from RNAcentral. Lineage: Eukaryota; Viridiplantae; Streptophyta; Magnoliopsida; Malpighiales; Euphorbiaceae.
GGCGUAUCUUCAAACAACGGUGGCAGGCUAGAAAAUCCUGUCAAUAAGACCUUGAGCUUAGAAGGCACAUUGCAGCAAGUGUCGACAUCCUCUCGGGCACACGCCGCUUUGAAUCGCUCGAAUAGCUGCGAGACCUCCGCUAACUUUGGAUCCAUCUCUCUCUCUAUCUCUCUCUCUCUCUCUCUCUAUCUCCCUCCCCCUGCGUCUGUUCAAUGUUCCCAGGUGACUGGUGUCUCUACCUCUCCGAGUUUGAGCUCGAUGUG